CAGCAGCCGCGGGAAUACGAAGGGUGCAAGCGUUAAUCGGAAUUACUGGGCGUAAAGCGUGCGUAGGCGGUUUGUUAAGUCUGCUGUGAAAUCCCCGGGCUCAACCUGGGAAUGGCAGUGGAUACUGGCAAGCUAGAGUGUGUCAGAGGAUGGUGGAAUUCCCGGUGUAGCGGUGAAGUGCGUAGAGAUCGGGAGGAACAUCAGUGGCGAAGGCGGCCAUCUGGGACAACACUGACGCUGAGGCACGAAAGCGUGGGGAGCAAACAGGAUUAGAUACCCCUGUAGUCCCUGUCUCUUAUAC
RNAcentral lists this ribosomal RNA (301 nucleotides) under uncultured bacterium. Its description in RNAcentral is "partial 16S ribosomal RNA". It matches the Rfam family "Bacterial small subunit ribosomal RNA", at positions 509 to 807 of the family's 1533-position model. The record is from RNAcentral.